This 376-nucleotide ribosomal RNA is filed under the name uncultured rumen bacterium. RNAcentral's name for it is "partial 16S ribosomal RNA". The record is from RNAcentral.
UAUUCCCCACUGCUGCCUCCCGUAGGAGUCUGGGCCGUGUCUCAGUCCCAAUGUGGCCGUCCGCCCUCUCAGGCCGGCUACUGAUCGUCGCUUUGGUGGGCCGUUACCCCGCCAACUGGCUAAUCAGACGCGGAUCCAUCUCACACCGAUAAAUCUUUUCACACUUUAUCAUGCGAUAUCGUGCGCUUAUGCGGUAUUAUCAGUCGUUUCCAACUGCUAUCCCCCUGUGUGAGCCAGGUUAUCCACGCGUUACUCACCCGUCCGCCACUAAGCAUAAACAAGUUCGCUUCCUCAGCAAGCUGAUUCUUCUCACAGCGUCUAUGCUCCGUUCGACUUGCAUGUGUUAGGCACGCCGCCAGCGUUCAUCCUGAGCCAA